CUGAGGGGGGCUGCUCCUAGUACGAGAGGACCGGAGUGGACGCAUCACUGGUGUUCGGGUUGUCAUGCCAAUGGCACUGCCCGGUAGCUAAAUGCGGAAGAGAUAAGUGCUGAAAGCAUCUAAGCACGAAACUUGCCCCGAGAUGAGUUCUCCCUGAGACUUAGAGUCUCCUGAAGGAACGUUGAAGACGACGACGUUGAUAGGCCGGGUGUGUAAGCGCAGCGAUGCGUUGAGCUAACCGGUACUAAUGAACCGUGAGGCUUAACCUUAC
Molecule: ribosomal RNA, 271 nt
Filed under: Salmonella enterica subsp. enterica serovar Tennessee str. 4535
Lineage: Bacteria; Pseudomonadati; Pseudomonadota; Gammaproteobacteria; Enterobacterales; Enterobacteriaceae
Description: partial 23S ribosomal RNA
Rfam family: Bacterial large subunit ribosomal RNA
Source: RNAcentral